GUCGAGGGCUGUUUUGAUGAAUGUGAUUAUUAAAUAAGUUAAAUUUACUAUUUUAGAUCAAGAAGUUCAAACUCGAGGUUAGACAAAGGGAAGAAUAAAGUUGAAGACUAAGUUGGUGAAUUUGGCUAUAAUUGGUACCGAGUAUUGCAAAGCUACUUCAAGGAUCCUAAAGAAGUCGGAGAUCGUCCACACUAUCAACCACAACUGCUCGGUAUUUUAUAUCGAAUCAUGUUUGAGUUAUGGCAUGUAUAGGGAUUUAGUUAUUUUGUAUGUUUGUGAUUAUGAUUUUGCUAAAGAAUGGUGUGUAAGUAUUUGAUGAUGUAUGGUUAUUAAAAUGGUUAAGUAUGAAGGUAUUUGUUGUUAUAAGAGUCUAGGUGAUAAAUUAUGUAUGGAAAUCAUGAAAGGAUGAAAUUUUGCAAAGAAACAGAAUUCAGGCAGUAACAGUGACGUAACUUUGAAAAAUCACCCAAGAUAGUAUAAAAUGAAUUAGAGGGUGAAUGAUAUAUGGAAUUAAAUCUUGUUGAGUCUAUUUUCAUGGAAAAAUAACGCUGUAGCGAAAGGAAUUUUAUAUUUUAAGAUAUGUGAAUUUUUGUGAGA
Molecule: long non-coding RNA, 597 nt
Organism: Gossypium raimondii (Peruvian cotton)
Lineage: Eukaryota; Viridiplantae; Streptophyta; Magnoliopsida; Malvales; Malvaceae
Exons: 2
Source: RefSeq, a predicted model, not a curated record